AGCAGUAUGGCUCAGUGGAAAGAGCAUGGGCUUGGGACCCAGAGGUCAUGGGUUCGAAUCCCAGCUCUGCCA
Non-coding RNA from Ornithorhynchus anatinus (platypus), 72 nucleotides. NCBI's taxonomy places the organism in Eukaryota, Metazoa, Chordata, Mammalia, Monotremata, Ornithorhynchidae. The record is from Rfam.